RNAcentral lists this long non-coding RNA (532 nucleotides) under Zostera marina. RNAcentral's name for it is "long non-coding RNA (ZMAR_LNC004055)". Lineage: Eukaryota; Viridiplantae; Streptophyta; Magnoliopsida; Alismatales; Zosteraceae. The record is from RNAcentral.
UCCAAUCUCCCCCUCUUCUAUAACCUUCCCCAAUCUUCAUUACACUUCCGCGUGGAACCGGACAGAGGACUCCGGCGGUCAUGUCUGCUACUCCCGUCUGCGGAAUGGAACUACGAUUCCGCGGACUCCUCGGAAUGAAAAUCGCAAUUCCACGGAACGAUCGAUGGGUUCUUAAUCUCCAGUUCCGAUCGGAACGAUCGAUGGGUUCCUGGAAGAUGGGUUUUCAUUUCAAUUUCCUGGAAUGAUCGAUGGGUUCCGUGGGAACUCCGAUCGCAGUUUCUAAUCUCCAGUUCCGAUCGCGAGAUUGAACCCAUCGUUGAUUCGUUCCGAUCGAGUUCCGAUCGGACGGCUGAUUCGAACGGACGGCCGGAUCGAAGGUCCGCAAAAGGGACCGUUUGAAAAACCGGCCGUCCCAGAAUCGCGUCCUAAAAAAAUAAUAUUUAUUCUGAAUGGUAUGUAAUAUAUAUUUUUAUUAAAUUUUUAAAUGGUAAUUAGUCAAUCAUUGGAGGCUAAAUACCCAAUUAUAUUUUAA